GGAAAACUGGGUACACUGAUACAUUGUUGGUGAAACUGUAAAUGCAUUUGGCCAUUCUGGAGAGGAAUUUGGAAUUAUACUCAAAAAGUUGUCAAACUGUGCAUACCCUUUGAUUCAGCACUGUUACUCCUGGGCUUAUAUGCAAAAGAGAUAUUAAGGAAGGAAAAGGGAUAUGUAUGUACAAAAAUGUUUGUGGCAGCCCUUUUUGUAGUGUUUAGAAACUGGAAAUUGAAUGGAUGCCUAUCACUUGGAGAAUGGCUGGGUAAAUUGUGGUAUCUGAAUGUUUUGGAAUAUUAUUGGAAUUAUAUGGGGCUAAGCUAAUCUAUAGAAAUUGGCUAAAACCAGCCAUUGUCAAGAACCUGGAGAAAGUUUUUCUUCAAAGACUAUUAUCUGACAGAACCCAAGAGCAGAGAUACUGGAAGAUGGGAUGCCCGACCAAGUGGGGGAAUAUUGUCUAGGAACAACACGUCAGAAUUGCAUGAGGAAGACUUUAAAGAUGAAAAGUUUCAUCCAAAUAGAAUGGAGGCAUAGGACUUACCUUAAGAGUAUAAAAUCUUAUUCUACUUACUUAUCAGUAUGUGAACUCAUCUAGUGUUUUUUUCACCCAAUUCUGGCAGAGUGUAUAGAAUGUUUAAACGGCUUCACUCAUCCUGAGAUCAUUCAUUUACUGCACCCUUUUGGGGAUUCAGAAUUUUAUAAAACUAGGAAGAACCUUCAUUUUAAAUUAAAUCAAUUUAAAGGCAAUGCAGCUUCCAAAGAUAGGUGUCUUACAAAGGUUACAAUUACAGUACUUUGAAAACUUAUAGCUGUUAUGGGCCAGAACUCACCUUGAAACAAAGUGCUAAUUCAGUGGAACUGAUGAGACAAUGGUUAUCUAGUUCAAGGUUCAGUAUGGUUGAUUUGAUCUUACAACAAAUAAUGGUUUCCUAGUGCUAUAAUGCUUCGUUUCUACUCAGGGUGGAGCAUAUAAGCAGGGACUGAGAGCCAUAGAGGAGAAGCUUUCAGAAGGCAGAGAACACAAGCGCACUAGGAGAUCUCAGAACCAUGGAGACAGACCUUCAUUUGAUUUCAGUCAAGCCACUAGUGGCAGGCUCUCUUCCUUAUUUUCUCCACUGACACCAAGACUCCGGAAAGCCUCCAAGAAAACUAGCCGAGCCCCGAGUGAAGGAGACAAGACUUGGAAGGAGACAAUAAAGACUUUUAUUUAUUUAUAUUUAUAAAAUACUUUUAUUUAUAUUAAAGAACCUGACUGUUCCUGUGAUGAUUACUGAACUGAAAAAGGAUGACUGCUUCCAGAGACCCCAAGAAAACCGAACCAGAGAACAAUACAUAUAACAAUCAAAACAAUAUCAUAUUCUUCAAUUUCAUGAAUAGACCAGAGAAAAGAUAUUUCUGAGAUUAAAAAUAGUAUGAUAUAGUAUACUUGAAAUAUAUGUGAUUGUACAUCAGAGUAUCACAUUGAUAAUACGAUUAGUUGAAUAUUUUACUGGAAUAGCAGAACAAUUCCAGAGUUAAAUAAAUUAAUAGCUAGAUCUAAACCUAAUACCCUUUUCUAAUAGUUUCUGAAAAAUUAAGAGGUAGAUAAUUCAGGUUUUGGCACAGUGGAUAAAGUGUAGUCUGCAGUCAAGAAUCUUAAUAUAAUAAUAAAUACCUUAAAAAGUACAUGAAAAGGGUGGAAACAGGAAGUUGAAAAAUCAAAAAAUCUUGAAAAUCAAAAGACAAUAUUCAGAUGAUCAAAGGUUGAGAUAAAGGUGAUCUUGUAGCUAUGGUCCAAAGGAUAAAAACAUCAGAUGUGUCUAUUAAGCAUAAUUGGGUUCAGAG
This 1821-nucleotide long non-coding RNA is filed under the name Sarcophilus harrisii (Tasmanian devil). RNAcentral's name for it is "lncRNA (ENSSHAG00000021355.1)". Lineage: Eukaryota; Metazoa; Chordata; Mammalia; Dasyuromorphia; Dasyuridae. The record is from RNAcentral.